RNAcentral lists this ribosomal RNA (554 nucleotides) under uncultured bacterium. Its description in RNAcentral is "partial 16S ribosomal RNA". It matches the Rfam family "Bacterial small subunit ribosomal RNA", at positions 355 to 905 of the family's 1533-position model. The record is from RNAcentral.
UGGGGAAUUUUGGACAAUGGGCGAAAGCCUGAUCCAGCAAUGCCGCGUGUGUGAAGAAGGCCUUCGGGUUGUAAAGCACUUUUGUCCGGAAAGAAAUCCUUGGCUCUAAUACAGUCGGGGGAUGACGGUACCGGAAGAAUAAGCACCGGCUAACUACGUGCCAGCAGCCGCGGUAAUACGUAGGGUGCAAGCGUUAAUCGGAAUUACUGGGCGUAAAGCGUGCGCAGGCGGUUUGCUAAGACCGAUGUGAAAUCCCCGGGCUCACCUGGAACUGCAUUGGUGACUGGCAGGCUAGAGUAUGGCAGAGGGGGGUAGAAUUCCACGUGUAGCAGUGAAAUGCGUAGAGAUGUGGAGGAAUACCGAUGGCGAAGGCAGCCCCCUGGCAAGUACUGACGCUCAUGCACGAAAGCGUGGGGAGCAAACAGGAUUAGAUACCCUGGUAGUCCACGCCCUAAACGAUGUCAACUAGUUGUUGGGGAUUCAUUUCCUUAGUAACGUAGCUAACGCGUGAAGUUGACCGCCUGGGGAGUACGGUCGCAAGAUUAAAACUCAAA